ACCUGGUUGGCUCAGCUGGGAGAGCAUGUGAUUCUUGAUCUCAGGGUUGUGAGUUCAAGCCCCAUGUUGGGUA
RNAcentral lists this transfer RNA (73 nucleotides) under Canis lupus familiaris (dog). It matches the Rfam family "tRNA". From Rfam's summary of the family: Transfer RNA (tRNA) molecules are approximately 80 nucleotides in length. RNAcentral also lists the same sequence under 1 other name. Lineage: Eukaryota; Metazoa; Chordata; Mammalia; Carnivora; Canidae. The record is from Rfam by way of RNAcentral.